RNAcentral lists this ribosomal RNA (468 nucleotides) under uncultured bacterium. RNAcentral describes it as "partial 16S ribosomal RNA". It matches the Rfam family "Bacterial small subunit ribosomal RNA", at positions 28 to 507 of the family's 1533-position model. The record is from RNAcentral.
GACGAACGCUGGCGGCGUGCUUAACACAUGCAAGUCGAACGGAAAGGCCCUGCUUUUGUGGGGUGCUCGAGUGGCGAACGGGUGAGUAACACGUGAGUAACCUGCCCUUGACUUUGGGAUAACUUCAGGAAACUGGGGCUAAUACCGGAUAGGAGCUCCUGCUGCACGGGGGGGGUUGGAAAGUUUCGGCGGUUGGGGAUGGACUCGCGGCUUAUCAGCUUGUUGGUGGGGUAGUGGCUUACCAAGGCUUUGACGGGUAGCCGGCCUGGGAGGGGGACCGGCCACAUUGGGCCUGAGGUACGGCCCAGACUCCUACGGGCGGCAGCAGUGGGGAGUAUUGCGCAGUGGGCGGAAGCCUGAUGCAGCGACGCCGCGUGCGGGAUGACGGCCUUCGGGUUGUAAACCGCUUUCGCCUGUGACGAAGCGUGAGUGACGGUAAUGGGUAAGGAAGCACCGGCUAACUACGUG